AGAAUCAACGCUGGCGGCGUGCCUAACACAUGCAAGUCGAACGAGAAAGUGGAGCAAUCCAUGAGUAAAGUGGCGACCGGGUGAGUAACACGUGACUAACCUACCUUCGAGUGGGGGAUAACCUCGGGAAACCGAGGCUAAUACCGCAUAACAUCGCAAGAUCAAAGCAGCAAUGCGCUGGAAGAGGGGGUCGCGGCUGAUUAGCUAGUUGGCGGGGUAACGGCCCACCAAGGCGAAGAUCGGUAUCCGGCCUGAGAGGGCGCACGGACACACUGGAACUGAAACACGGUCCAGACUCCUACGGGAGGCAGCAGUGGGGAAUUUUGCGCAAUGGGGGAAACCCUGACGCAGCAACGCCGCGUGGAGGAUGAAGCCCCUUGGGGCGUAAACUCCUUUCGACCAAGACGAUAAUGACGGUACUGGUGGAAGAAGCACCGGCUAACUCUGUGCCAGCAGCCGCGGUAAUACAGAGGGGGCAAGCGUUAUUCGGAAUUAUUGGGCGUAAAGGGCGCGUAGGCGGUGUUUUAAGUGGGAUGUGCAAUCCCCGGGCUUAACCUGGGAACUGCAUCCCAGACUGGAACGCUGGAGUACUGGAGAGGGUGGUGGAAUUCCACGUGUAGCGGUGAAAUGCGUAGAGAUGUGGAGGAACACCAGUGGCGAAGGCGGCCACCUGGACAGUAACUGACGCUGAGGCGCGAAAGUGUGGGUAGCAAACAGGAUUAGAUACCCUGGUAGUCCACGCCCUAAACGAUGUCGACUAGUUGUCGGGGAUUAACUUCCUCGGUAACGCAGCUAACGCGUGAAGUCGACCGCCUGGGGAGUACGGUCGCAAGAUUAAA
This 839-nucleotide ribosomal RNA is filed under the name uncultured soil bacterium. RNAcentral describes it as "bacterial SSU rRNA". It matches the Rfam family "Bacterial small subunit ribosomal RNA", at positions 26 to 898 of the family's 1533-position model. The record is from RNAcentral.